Molecule: long non-coding RNA, 238 nt
Filed under: Elaeis guineensis (African oil palm)
Lineage: Eukaryota; Viridiplantae; Streptophyta; Magnoliopsida; Arecales; Arecaceae
Description: long non-coding RNA (EGUI_LNC028340)
Source: RNAcentral
CGCUCUCCUAAUGCAGCAUGUGUCGGCUUUAGAUACUGUCGGGUGUCCACCAUCUGAAAUACCACGUGUUAUGCAUAUAGGGUCAAGGAUUGUGGCUGGGUGCAUCCACUGGGCUGUGCUUCUCAAUGCCUUCUCGACCCAGCCGGCCCAAUGGGAGUAUUAAAAAUUAGAAAAAGCAAUCAUAAGAGAAAUUACGGCUGCAAGUACUGCUUACAGUGGAUAAUUUUAAAUAAAAUGG